Molecule: unclassified non-coding RNA, 244 nt
Filed under: uncultured fungus
Lineage: Eukaryota; Fungi
Description: sequence contains ITS1, 5.8S rRNA gene
Rfam family: 5.8S ribosomal RNA (bases 196-244)
Source: RNAcentral
UCUCCGUAGGUGAACCUGCGGAGGGAUCAUUACAGAGUUCGUGCCCCUCGCGGGUAGAUCUCCCACCCUGUGUUAUCGUACCUCUUGUUGCUUUGGCAGGCCGCCGCGAGGCCUCCGGCUCACGCUGGAGCGCGCCUGCCAGAGGACCCAAACCCUGAAAUUUAGUGUCGUCUGAGUACUAUAUACAAUAGUUAAAACUUUCAACAACGGAUCUCUUGGUUCUGGCAUCGAUGAAGAACGCAGC